RNAcentral lists this ribosomal RNA (253 nucleotides) under uncultured bacterium. RNAcentral's name for it is "partial 16S ribosomal RNA". It matches the Rfam family "Bacterial small subunit ribosomal RNA", at positions 524 to 776 of the family's 1533-position model. The record is from RNAcentral.
UACGAACCGUACAAACGUUAUUCGGAAUCACUGGGCUUAAAGGGUGCGUAGGCGGCCAUGUAAGUGAGGUGUGAAAACCCGGGGCUCAACCCCGGGCCUGCAUUCGAUACGGGCAGACUAGAGUUCGGUAGGGGAGUCUGGAAUUCCUGGUGUAGCGGUGGAAUGCGCAGAUAUCAGGAGGAACACCGGUGGCGAAGGCGGGACUCUGGGCCGAUACUGACGCUGAGGAGCGAAAGCGUGGGGAGCAAACAGG